This 496-nucleotide ribosomal RNA is filed under the name uncultured bacterium. RNAcentral's name for it is "partial 16S ribosomal RNA". It matches the Rfam family "Bacterial small subunit ribosomal RNA", at positions 29 to 507 of the family's 1533-position model. The record is from RNAcentral.
AUGAACGCUGGCGGCGUGCCUAAUACAUGCAAGUCGAGCGAACAGACGAGGAGCUUGCUCCUCUGACGUUAGCGGCGGACGGGUGAGUAACACGUGGAUAACCUACCUAUAAGACUGGGAUAACUUCGGGAAACCGGAGCUAAUACCGGAUAAUAUAUUGAACCGCAUGGUUCAAUAGUGAAAGACGGUUUUGCUGUCACUUAUGGAUGGAUCCGCGCCGCAUUAGCUAGUUGGUAAGGUAACGGCUUACCAAGGCAACGAUGCGUAGCCGACCUGAGAGGGUGAUCGGCCACACUGGAACUGAGACACGGUCCAGACUCCUACGGGAGGCAGCAGUAGGGAAUCUUCCGCAAAGGGCGAAAGCCUGACGGAGCAACGCCGCGUGAGUGAUGAAGGUCUUCGGAUCGUAAAACUCUGUUAUUAGGGAAGAACAAAUGUGUAAGUAACUAUGCACGUCUUGACGGUACCUAAUCAGAAAGCCACGGCUAACUACGUG